AUUCAUUCUUGCAUUUUAAUGGCAAGACCGCACCCACAUGGCACCACUGAGCGGUGCAUUACUUUGUGUCAGGUGGCCUGCGGGGCCCUGAUGGUGUAGAGUUCAGCCAUCCUGGACACAUAACCUCACAGAGCAGCUGAGCAACGAAGGCAUCUAAGCUGAGCAUGACUGGUAAGACUCCUACGACAGUGGCCACCUGGCCAAGAGAACUAUUGCUGGACAUCUAGUCAAUCUGUCCUUAAAAGUCACUGCCCCCCUUAUCUUAGCACAUUUGUUAUCAUUGCUAGUACAUGACUCCUUCUCUAGCUGCUCUGAUCUAAGUGGCUCCCAGCCAUGAAUUGACUUGAUGCUCUUAACAACACUUCUUCCAAGUCUUCAUUACUAUGUCCAUUUUACAGAGAGGAAUACUGAGAUACUGGUUUAAGUACCUUGCUCAAGGACACACAGAUUAUAACAGCCUGAGACAGACAGCUGCCAGUGCUUCUUCUGUUCAUGCCCCCCCUCCCCAAGUGGCCUGGAGUUACUGGGACUAAGACUCACGUUUUGCUGGCUUUCAGGUACUCUCACUGUGUAUGCUUACCUCCUCGGCAUUAUGAGAGAGGUCACUGCAGAGGGA
This 616-nucleotide long non-coding RNA is filed under the name Mus musculus (house mouse). RNAcentral's name for it is "long non-coding RNA chr7:136273018-136273634". The record is from RNAcentral. Lineage: Eukaryota; Metazoa; Chordata; Mammalia; Rodentia; Muridae.